GCAACCUCCGCCUCCCGGAAGGGUAUUGCCUGUGUUGUACUCAUCUCUUUAUCAUAAGUGUCCUAAAUAAUGAAAGAACAAUUCUUCAAGAGAAAAGGAGUGGUCAGCCCCUUUACCCUCCUGUCAAGGAAAAUUAAGCCUGAAGGUCAUACUAUUGGAUGCUUAAAGGCCCUGCCGAUUCAUCACAAGACAGUUUCCACAAACUGAUGGGAGAGAGACACUUGCAAGGCUUAGCAGAGAACAACACUGUCAGUCUGGAGUAAGUGACAAAAAUAAGAAAGGGAAGUCUAUCCUGAUGCCCAGCCAGGGAAAAAUGGGAAGAAAGAGAAGAGAAGAGAAGAGACAGAGAGGUUAUCGCAGGAGUGGGACUGGUGACUAAAGAGGAAAUGAGACCUAAGCUAGCCUCCUUGCCAUGUGAUACUCUGCACCACCUUGAGACUCUGCAGAGAGUACCCACCAACAAGGAAGCUCUCACCAGAUGCGCCCCCUUGACCUUGGACUUCUCCACCUCCAGAACAGUACAAAAUAAAUUUCAUUUCUCAUAAAUUACUCAGUUUCAGAAAUCCUGUUUAAGCAACAGAAAAUGGACUAAGCUACUGCCCUGCUGAUCAGCCAGCCACCUGUACAUGUGCACACCCAGAUGACAUAUGCAAGAAUGUUCAGACCAUGGUAGAUGUUUCCAAAGAUGGCCCCCAUCAAGUCCUUACCCCUGUGCAUGCAUAUGCCCCUUCUCCCAUUCAGUUACCCCCCUUCCCUUGAGACUGAGUUGGUGCUGUAACUGCUUUUACCAAUAGGAUGCAGACAAAAAUAAUGUUCUGAGAAUUUCGAGAUCAAAACCUAACAGACUGAUAGCUUCCAUGUCCUUCUUCUUGGAACAUUCACUCAUAGAAUGCUCCCUCUCAGAACACAGAUACCAUGAGAGAAGUCCAACCGGGUCAUGUGGAGAGGCCACAUGGAAAAGAACUGAGGCCCAACAGCCCACACCACCUUCCAGUCAUGGGAAUGAACCUUAUUGGAUGUUCCAGCUUUGUCAAACCCCCAGAUGGCUUCAGACCCAACCAAGUUUAUGUGAAACAGAAGAGUCACACAGCUGAACCCACUCAACCCACUAAAUUGUGAGAGAUAAUAACAGGUUGUUGUUUGAAGCCACUACACUUUUUUGUGGUUAUGCCGCAACAGAAAAAUGAAACGCAGACCUCUCAAAAUCACAAGUCCACACUGUGAAUAUAUAAAUUUUAGCAAAGCACCCACUAUAGGCCUGCUUCUUUAAUAUAUAUUUUCUCAGUUAAUGCUCAAAACUAUGCUAAGACAUCAGCUUUCUCAUGGCAGAGAGAUUAUGUAAGAGGCAGAACUGAAACUCAAGGCACACUUCCUGGCCCUAAUUGAUGUGUUUGUCUCACUGCAUCUCAGAAGCUGGGACAAGUGACUCUGCGGGGUCAAUUCUCAGCUCUCUGAACAUGUAUCUGCUUUGGGGAUCAGUAUUACCAUGUGUGUUUUCAGGAUCAUGCUCUUCUAUCAUGUAGCCACCAAUGUGCGGCAAUGGAGAACUUUUUAUACAGUAUCCUAACAAAAAUUAGGAAGUCAUCAUUAGAUUCCCCCAAUCAAAUGUAUAAGACAGUACAGAAACAUAAUAAAAG
RNAcentral lists this long non-coding RNA (1637 nucleotides) under Homo sapiens (human). The record is from RNAcentral. Lineage: Eukaryota; Metazoa; Chordata; Mammalia; Primates; Hominidae.